Phyllostomus hastatus (greater spear-nosed bat) is the source of this 954-nucleotide long non-coding RNA. RefSeq lists it as uncharacterized. NCBI's taxonomy places the organism in Eukaryota, Metazoa, Chordata, Mammalia, Chiroptera, Phyllostomidae. The transcript has 4 exons. The record is from RefSeq and is a predicted model, not a curated record.
GGAUGCUGCUGAGGGAGCUGCACUUUGGAGAGGGGGCAGGAACUGCGGGUUGGUGCGCGCCCAAGAGCAAGAGACUCCUACGUGUCCUGUGGAGGCCCCAUCGCACUAACCAGGACUCCCUGGAUGCCACAGUGCGUCAGGACUUGUCUCGUUCCAGUCCCUUGGAUACACUCUUUCCCAAUAUGCACCGUCUUCCUCCCACCAGCAGAAGCUACCAUCUCAGCCUCAGCUCCCUCCAGUACUCAGGGUCACGCUUUGAGGCUUUGAGGACGCAGCCUAGUCGCCACCCGCGCCGGGCAGCUGCUGCUGGUGACCAGCGCCAUCCCCGGCCUUCCGCUCCCUGCACCCUAGGCCGAGCGGGCAAGUGUGCGGGCAGCGAGGCUUUGAGAGCCGGGGCAGUCGGUGCUUUAGCGGAGGAAUGUGCAAGUGCUUGCUUAUGGCGGAACGACUCGACGGCGUGCAGAGUAGAACCUGGCAGGAAAAAAUAAAAAAACAUUGGUACCGUGCCUUAAAAGACUCUUCCCACCGGUAGGGAAAAAAGCGGGUCGCUACUCCAGUGUCCACGAGCCGGUGAAAAUGUCGGAGAUCUUGUCACGAAGAGGGACGUAGUGCCAGUUUGGAGGCACGUUGACGGCGGCACCUAAAACCUUUGCCGAAACCCGGGAUCGAACCAGGGACCUUUAGAUCUUCAGUCUAACGCUCUCCCAACUGAGCUAUUUCGGCGGCUCCUGGGCAGGGUUCCUCCGCAUGUGCACAAGAAACAUUAGAGUCAUUGUGACACAUCGGGUCGGUGCGGAGGGCUAACUGGAGGUUAAGUAUACAAUAAAUAUCACAAAAGUCAGGAGACAGGCUUCCGUUAUAAGCUGGAAGUGAUAACUAACUUUUCUCGUUCGUUUCACUAACUGCUCGGCAGUCAGCUUUGCUUAUUUAAAAAUAAAUCACGAACUUCUUUUG